CUGGACCAAAUCAGAAAAUGUUGAGGCUUUCGUGACAAUUGUUUCCCUAUCUAUAGCUGUUCGGGUUUAUUGGUCAUCAAAGUCACACGAAUCAAAUCAGACCUCUGAAACAACAACAAACGUCGACCAAUAAACCCGAACAACUCUAAAAAUGGAAACAAUGGUCACGAAUGCCUCAACCUUAACAUUAUAAGAAUUGUUAGGGAUCAUCCUGUGUAGCUAUAUUUUAGAAAGUUACCACUUGUUAUAGUGAAGCUUCUGAGUUGAGGAAAAUCAAAUGUAGUGAAACGAAAUUUAUUAAUCGUUUAUAACUUCCUGUAUAUUAUACUGUAACUAUCUUUUGAUGUACCCCACGGUAUAUAUAGCUUGAGUCAAUCGUCAUAGGAGCAACCACGUGGAGGAGUCGAGGAAUUUGGUUAAUUAAUCAGUUUUUUCCUUCGUCAUCUCCUGGGACUGCUAUAUUUGGCCUGGACAUAUUUGAAAGAAAACAAAAAAAUCAAGGACUACGUAUUAGUGCAUAAGACUUUAGUGACUAAGAGUCGUGUUUCUAUGGAACCCAUCCCAUCUGAAAAACUCAUGGUGCCCUAAAUUAAAAAUACGGAGGGAAUGGCAAUAACAUACGUAUCAAGCUGAAGGUUUUAAAAAAGAAUUUAUAGAAGCGAUGCCUUAAUGCUGUUUUUGCAAUUUAUGCAAACUGCAAAGUAAAUUAUUGAAGUACUAUAACAAGCUCCUCCGAAAUUUAAUGGACCAUUGCCACAAGAAGAUUAAGGUGUGAAGUCUUUUUAUACAUUAUAUUAAUUGAAGAGAUACUGAGAACAGUCAGUGGCCGGAAGAAUAUAUUAAUAUCUGUGUAUCAGAUAUUGAAAAUGUCGCACCACAACUGAUAUUUAAAAUAAUAAGUCAUGUGUGUUACUUAAAAUAAGUAAUACAAUAAGCAUAUAAUUAUUAUUUCUGUUAAAUUUCUAUUAAAAUUUAUAUAUUAUUGGGUAUAUUAUAGGUAUAUAAUUUGUUGUUGUCAAAAAUAAGGUUUAUAACCUACUGCUCCACAAACAUUAGGGUUAUUAA
Aethina tumida (small hive beetle) is the source of this 1065-nucleotide long non-coding RNA. RefSeq lists it as uncharacterized. Lineage: Eukaryota; Metazoa; Arthropoda; Insecta; Coleoptera; Nitidulidae. The transcript has 3 exons. The record is from RefSeq and is a predicted model, not a curated record.